AAGCAUGGAUGAUGCUUUUCUAUGGAUCUGAAUUAAGGGAAAAAUGCCCCCUUUUCCAUCACCAGAGAGGUUUAACGCAAGGAAAACUACUCUUUUCCCCAAUAUCUGAGGGGUUUAAAUUAAAGGGGAGAAGCCAUUUCUUUACCACUGCAUCUGUUUAAAUGCAGUUAGCUGUCCCAUUUGCUCAUUUUAAGUGUUGCCUUUUCCAGCAUUUCAAGGGUUUAAAGCUGCAUUUCAGGGCACUUUUACCCACACCCCGGCACCAAAUAUCUCCAACGGGGGCGAGGCCAGCAGGAGGAUUGCAAUUUCCAGAAGUUCUAGGUCACAUCAAGUGCGAUAUUUCAGAUUCUCUCAGCAGACUCAUAGUAACACAAAAGGGAACCGCCCCCGCAGCAGCUUUCCUUAGCAGCAGAUCGUCCUCUCGCACAGAUUCACUUUGGAGAGAUGCAGACGGUUUGACCUCGUGGCAGAGCAGCUAUCCCAGAUGAUGGGGGUCCCCCUGAGAAGGAAGUAAAGCCAGAUAGCAGCG
RNAcentral lists this long non-coding RNA (529 nucleotides) under Cyanistes caeruleus (blue tit). RNAcentral describes it as "lncRNA (ENSCCEG00000018120.1)". The record is from RNAcentral. Lineage: Eukaryota; Metazoa; Chordata; Aves; Passeriformes; Paridae.